UACGGAGACCUCGAGCGUUAUCCGGAAUCAUUGGGCGUAAAGCGUACCGAUCGGUGGUCUAGUAAGUCUAUUGUGAAAGACCGAAGCUCAACUUCGUGUUUGCAAUAGAUACUAUUAGACUUGAAGAGUAAAGGGGUUGCUGGAACUCUGCAAGUAGCGGUGAAAUGCGUUGAUAUGCAGGGGAACACCAAAAGCGAAGGCAGGCAACUGGGUACUUCUUGACACUGCUAGGACGAAAGCGUGGGUAGCGAAUGGG
RNAcentral lists this ribosomal RNA (256 nucleotides) under uncultured bacterium. Its description in RNAcentral is "partial 16S ribosomal RNA". It matches the Rfam family "Bacterial small subunit ribosomal RNA", at positions 524 to 776 of the family's 1533-position model. The record is from RNAcentral.